UGGAUGAUCUCAUACUGUAGAUGCACAGGCCACGGGUACAGAGAGCGAGAGCGAGAUCGAGCGAGAGCACAAGCAGGGGGAUUAGAAGACUGAGAAGGCGAGCAGGGAUCCUGAUGAGGGGCUCAAUCCCAGGACCCUAGGAUCGUGACCCAAGCUGAAAGCAGACGCUUAAUGACUGAGCCACCCGGAUGCCCCAGUCACUGAG
RNAcentral lists this long non-coding RNA (205 nucleotides) under Mustela putorius furo (domestic ferret). Its description in RNAcentral is "lncRNA (ENSMPUG00000028428.1)". Lineage: Eukaryota; Metazoa; Chordata; Mammalia; Carnivora; Mustelidae. The record is from RNAcentral.